This is a long non-coding RNA of Magallana angulata, 1402 nucleotides long. RefSeq lists it as uncharacterized. The record is from RefSeq and is a predicted model, not a curated record. NCBI's taxonomy places the organism in Eukaryota, Metazoa, Mollusca, Bivalvia, Ostreida, Ostreidae. The transcript is spliced from 3 exons.
CUGUCAGUUCCGGCGCAGUGCUCUUAUUACUGCUAUUACUACUACAGUUAUGUACAUACUAUGCAACAAGACAGCGCUGUUACUAUUAUUACUACUACUACUCAUCGUCGAGUUCUUCGUCUUCGGCUGGAACGAUAGCUGGCGGAGUAAUUGGAGGUAUUUUUGGGCUGGUUGCUUUUUGCACCUUUGUUGCUUUGUGUGUGGCAAAAUAUGCAAAAAGCAAAACCGCUGCCAAGUCAUGGUGCGCCCUCAGCAGCCUGCGGUCUAUACUAGUUCAACUACACAAUAAGGAUAUCAACAGCCACCAGCUCCUGCUCACCCCUAUCCGCCACCAUCGUAUUCGAGUGGACAGCUUUUCUCUCAAAAUGGAUAGGACACUGCAGAUUCCUUAUUUUACGCGAGUUUUUUUUAUUUCGCUAGGCAGUCGUUUUUAUAAUGAUUUCAAGUAAUUUGCUGUUUUCGAUUCUUGAAUUGACCAUUAAUAUUUACAUCAAGAUCAUUGAAUUUUUUUGAUUAUUUGUCCUAAAACAUUUGCUUACAGUUUCUGGAUAUCGCAUUUGAGCUACAUACAGAUAUAUGACCAUUUUUUAAUAACCUUGAUUAUUUUAUGGGCGAAAUUUGGAACAUCAAUUUAACAUGACAGCAUUUGUAUUCUGAAUAUGAUUGACUUUAGUUGUACUAUGGUAUGAAUAUUAAUAUGCAGUUUUUUACGCUUAUUUUAUUGUACUUGUGUGUCUUUGAUAUGCUGAGUUUGGUGACAGUUUGUUAUUAUUCAUUUACCAAGUAUUUUACUCUUUUCCCUUCUUUGAUUUUAAAAGACUUUUUUUCAAACAUUGAAUAAAAUUUAAAAAGAACAAUUUCAUUAAUUAUCACAAAUGUGCAAAGGUCUCAGACUGAGUGGCUCCUCAUAAUUACCGUUGUUGUCAUAAUACACUAUUCAGUUUGACAAGCAUCUGGGCUGCAGAUCAACUGACAAUUUCCAGAAUGUUAUUAAUGUAUGAAACAAUUUUCGUUACUUCUCUUGAACAAUUGAACCAAUGGACGUGAACAAAUGGAGAUGUGUUUUAAAUCCACUGUCGUUGUAACAAUCCACAUGGUAGACGCCUACUUAUUUGGUUAUGUUGAUUGCCUUACUGAAACAGUGCACAUCUUCUUUGACAUGAAGUGUUGUUUUGAUUUUAUUUUGUCGAGCAAUUGUAAUUAUAAAGUAAGAAGAAAUUUGAAUAUUACUAGUUUCAGUUUGUUCCCGACUUAAGGUGGCAUUCUACACCCACAGUUUAUUCCAAAUUUCGAUAGAAAACCACACAACAUAUACAUAUCAAAUAUUAAAGAAUAAUAGUGCUACUAUAGGUAUCUUUAAAGAAUUUUUAAAUGUUUUUUGUGUUUUUGUAAAAUAAAUUUU